GAUGAACGCUGGCGGCGUGCCUAAUACAUGCAAGUCGAGCGAACGGACGAGGAGCUUGCUUCUCUGAUGUUAGCGGCGGACGGGUGAGUAACACGUGGAUAACCUACCUAUAAGACUGGGAUAACUUCGGGAAACCGGAGCUAAUACCGGAUAAUAUUUUGAACCGCAUGGUUCAAAAGUGAAAGACGGUCUUGCUGUCACUUAUAGAUGGAUCCGCGCUGCAUUAGCUAGUUGGUAAGGUAACGGCUUACCAAGGCAACGAUGCAUAGCCGACCUGAGAGGGUGAUCGGCCACACUGGAACUGAGACACGGUCCAGACUCCUACGGGAGGCAGCAGUAGGGAAUCUUCCGCAAUGGGCGAAAGCCUGACGGAGCAACGCCGCGUGAGUGAUGAAGGUCUUCGGAUCGUAAAACUCUGUUAUUAGGGAAGAACAUAUGUGUAAGUAACUGUGCACGUCUUGACGGUACCUAAUCAGAAAGCCACGGCUAACUACGUG
Molecule: ribosomal RNA, 497 nt
Filed under: uncultured bacterium
Lineage: Bacteria
Description: partial 16S ribosomal RNA
Rfam family: Bacterial small subunit ribosomal RNA
Source: RNAcentral